This 111-nucleotide small nuclear RNA is filed under the name Vicugna pacos (alpaca). The record is from RNAcentral. Lineage: Eukaryota; Metazoa; Chordata; Mammalia; Artiodactyla; Camelidae.
GUGCUGACAGGGGUGGGUGCAGCAUAUGAACUCAAAUUGGAAUAAUUCAGACAAGAUUGGACUGGCCUUGUGUGAGGACAACAUGCAACUCAUGAAGAGUUCCAUAUUUUG